RNAcentral lists this ribosomal RNA (484 nucleotides) under uncultured bacterium. RNAcentral's name for it is "partial 16S ribosomal RNA". It matches the Rfam family "Bacterial small subunit ribosomal RNA", at positions 30 to 507 of the family's 1533-position model. The record is from RNAcentral.
AUUGAACGCUGGCGGCAGGCCUAACACAUGCCAGUCGAGCGGAUGAAGGGAGCUUGCUCCUGGAUUCAGCGGCGGACGGGUGAGUAAUGCCUAGGAAUCUGCCUGGUAGUGGGGGAUAACGUCCGGAAACGGGCGCUAAUACCGCAUACGUCCUGAGGGAGAAAGUGGGGGAUCUUCGGACCUCACGCUAUCAGAUGAGCCUAGGUCGGAUUAGCUAGUUGGUGGGGUAAAGGCCUACCAAGGCGACGAUCCGUAACUGGUCUGAGAGGAUGAUCAGUCACACUGGAACUGAGACACGGUCCAGACUCCUACGGGAGGCAGCAGUGGGGAAUAUUGGACAAUGGGCGAAAGCCUGAUCCAGCCAUGCCGCGUGUGUGAAGAAGGUCUUCGGAUUGUAAGGCACUUUAAGUUGGGAGGAAGGGCAGUAAGUUAAUACCUUGCUGUUUUGACGUUACCAACAGAAUAAGCACCGGCUAACUUCGUG